AGAGUUUGAUCCUGGCUCAGGAUGAACGCUAGCUACAGGCUUAACACAUGCAAGUCGAGGGGCAGCAUGUUGGUUGCUUGCAACCAAUGAUGGCGACCGGCGCACGGGUGAGUAACGCGUAUCCAACCUACCCUUGUCCAUCGGAUAACCCGUCGAAAGGCGGCCUAACACGAUAUGCGGUUCUCAGCAGGCAUCUAACGAGAACGAAAUGUGAAGGAGAAGGAUGGGGAUGCGUCUGAUUAGCUUGGUUGGCGGGGUAACGCCACAAGGCGACGAUCAGUAGGGGUUCUGAGAGGAAGGUCCCCCCAAUUGGAACUGAGACACGGUCCAAACUCCUACGGGAGGCA
RNAcentral lists this ribosomal RNA (347 nucleotides) under uncultured bacterium. RNAcentral's name for it is "bacterial SSU rRNA". It matches the Rfam family "Bacterial small subunit ribosomal RNA", at positions 8 to 350 of the family's 1533-position model. The record is from RNAcentral.